UGAGCCUACGGGGGGCAGCAGUAGGGAAUAUUGCUCAAUGGGGGAAACCCUGAAGCAGCAACGCCGCGUGGAGGAUGAAGGUUUUCGGAUUGUAAACUCCUUUUGUUAGAGAAGAUAAUGACGGUAUCUAACGAAUAAGCACCGGCUAACUCCGUGCCAGCAGCCGCGGUAAUACGGAGGGUGCAAGCGUUACUCGGAAUAACUGGGCGUAAAGAGCGCGUAGGCGGGAUAGCCAGUAAGAAGUGAAAACCUAUGGCUUAACCAUAGAACUGCAUUUGAAACUGUUAUUCUAGAGUAAGGGAGAG
This 305-nucleotide ribosomal RNA is filed under the name uncultured bacterium. RNAcentral's name for it is "bacterial SSU rRNA". It matches the Rfam family "Bacterial small subunit ribosomal RNA", at positions 334 to 656 of the family's 1533-position model. The record is from RNAcentral.